RNAcentral lists this small nuclear RNA (19 nucleotides) under Arabidopsis thaliana (thale cress). RNAcentral describes it as "snRNA_06463". The record is from RNAcentral. Lineage: Eukaryota; Viridiplantae; Streptophyta; Magnoliopsida; Brassicales; Brassicaceae.
GCAACACCUCGUUUGGAUC